Molecule: ribosomal RNA, 358 nt
Filed under: Pediococcus pentosaceus
Lineage: Bacteria; Bacillati; Bacillota; Bacilli; Lactobacillales; Lactobacillaceae
Description: bacterial SSU rRNA
Rfam family: Bacterial small subunit ribosomal RNA
Source: RNAcentral
ACAGAAUGACAGGUGGUGCAUGGUUGUCGUCAGCUCGUGUCGUGAGAUGUUGGGUUAAGUCCCGCAACGAGCGCAACCCUUAUUACUAGUUGCCAGCAUUAAGUUGGGCACUCUAGUGAGACUGCCGGUGACAAACCGGAGGAAGGUGGGGACGACGUCAAAUCAUCAUGCCCCUUAUGACCUGGGCUACACACGUGCUUCAAUGGAUGGUACAACGAGUCGCGAGACCGCGAGGUUAAGCUAAUCUCUUAAAACCAUUCUCAGUUCGGACUGUAGGCUGCAACUCGCCUACACGAAGUCGGAAUCGCUAGUAAUCGCGGAUCAGCAUGCCGCGGUGAAUACGUUCCCGGGCCUUGUA